Molecule: transfer RNA, 70 nt
Filed under: Cyrtodactylus deccanensis
Lineage: Eukaryota; Metazoa; Chordata; Lepidosauria; Squamata; Gekkonidae
Description: tRNA-Trp
Source: RNAcentral
AGAAGUUUAGGUUAAAUAAACCAAGGGCCUUCAAAGCCCAUAAUAAGAGCCACCACCCUCCUAACUCCUG